Molecule: unclassified non-coding RNA, 1375 nt
Filed under: Hevea brasiliensis (rubber tree)
Lineage: Eukaryota; Viridiplantae; Streptophyta; Magnoliopsida; Malpighiales; Euphorbiaceae
Source: RNAcentral
GGAUAUGUCAAUGGCAAUCUACAAAAACUCGAAUUUCACCGGAGGUUGUUUGGAAAUCCGAUUGUUUUAUGUACGUAUCACGCCAUGCGCGGUUGAAACCGUACCGGACCACCUCAUACUCCGCCACCUCCGCCGUGAGAUGGGGGUAACGUUAGAGAUCAACAGUUCGCGUAUUCCGGCUAAUGAUACAGGCAUCAUAACCCUCCGACGUGAUCGGGUUGAUAAGGAAUCGUCGGAGGUAACGUUUGUGAGCACGGACAGCGUUAGGGUUUCAGGGCCGGUGGAAUUUGAGGUACAUGAGAAUGAAAAUGAGUUAAUACUUUGUGGGUCGUUGGAGAGAGUAGAGACAACGUGGGCUAAUGGUAAUGUUUUAGAGAAUGAUUCGAGGAGUGGAUGGAGCAUGGAUUGUUACACAGCAGCAUCAUUUGGGAAUGGUGGAUCAGCUUUUUUUCAGCCUAAAUUUGGGGUUUCUUUACCAUCAAUCGAGGUAUACAUAGCGGGUUGCUGUUCAGGUGUCCCUGUGAUUCUAUCAAAGACAAUUCAGGUCAGCCCGAGAAGGAAGUUACCUAGGCAGGGUAUGUUGGAUGCAAUUCCAGAGGAUGAGGAGGUUGCGAAGGAGCAGGGGAGCUCGAAUGGAUUCGGACGACAAAUAAAACCAUUGACCACAGAGGAUAUGGACGAUUAUGAGGUGGAGCAGAAGGCUGGAUAUGGUUUCUAUUCAGACGACAUGUACCCUGGUGAAGAUGGUCAGCUCACCUGGUUCAACGCAGGAGUGAGGGUUGGUGUUGGGAUAGGCCUCGGCAUGUGCGUUGGUGUUGGAAUUGGGGUGGGACUACUUAUGCGUUCAUAUCAGGCAACCACUAGGAAUCUGCGGAGGAGGUUUUUCUAGGCUUCUAACUUUCAGUCAUAGUGAAAUGGACUUCUUGACUGGAUUCUAACUACUGGAAAAAGGACUUUAUGGUCAUUAAAGUAGGUCUCAUCUUAGUGGCAGCAGGCAAAGGGAGACCCCUAGUGCUGCAGCUGAAGAGUGGUUACGUAUUAGGUGGUGUGAGGCUGUAACGCAAUUCAGUAUCCUUGUACAGAAGCUGCAGACGACGUUCAUCCAAGGAUCAUCUGUGUUGAGAUUAUACAAAAGCCCCCAGGCUGAAAAUCGGUGUUAGUGUGUUCAUAUGCUGUAUUUAAACUGAAUAUCUCGUAUACAUGUCCUUUUUUUCUUCUUUUUUUCUUUCGGGUUGGUUUAAACUCAUCAGCUUUGCUGUUGGUGUGUGCUGAAGUUUGUUAUUAAGGUUAGCUUUAGAGAGUUGACAAUGCGGCCGACAAUUUUGGUAGUUGCAAUAGGUGCUUCGGCGUAACAAAUUUAGUUUGUAAAAGUACU